This is a long non-coding RNA of Thalassophryne amazonica, 236 nucleotides long. RefSeq lists it as uncharacterized. Lineage: Eukaryota; Metazoa; Chordata; Actinopteri; Batrachoidiformes; Batrachoididae. The record is from RefSeq and is a predicted model, not a curated record. The transcript has 3 exons.
UUGAGUUUUUUUGAGUUGUAUAUUUUGACAAAACAAUUAUGCUAAGUUGCAAUGUUACCAGAAAAACAUCAAUAUUAGAAGUACAAUGUUUACUUUGAGAAAUAAAACCGGUAUUAUUUAGAGACAAGUGUGUUAAUCUCAUGUAAAAUAUGCUGCAGAAAUGAUUACAACUUGUCUUUUUGUAUUUAUAAACAGUAAUGUGCAAAUGUUUUAGAAAUAAAGAAAAAUGUUAAAUA